UCCCGUGUGGCUCAGUUGGUAGAGCAUGGUGUUUGCAACGCCAGGGUUGUGGCUUUGAUUCCCACGGGGG
This is a non-coding RNA of Salmo salar (Atlantic salmon), 70 nucleotides long. Lineage: Eukaryota; Metazoa; Chordata; Actinopteri; Salmoniformes; Salmonidae. The record is from Rfam.